CUGCUGCCUUCCGUAGGAGUCUGGUCCGUGUCUCAGUACCAGUGUGGGGGCCUUCCUCUCAGAACCCCUACGCAUCGUCGCCUCGGUGGGCCGUUACCCCGCCGACUAGCUAAUGCGCCGCAUGCCCAUCCGUGGCCGGGAUUGCUCCCUUUGGCGGCCUUGGGAUGCCCCAAGGCCGCGUUACGCGGUAUUAGACGGGGUUUCCCCCGCUUAUCCCCCUGCCACGGGCAGGUUGCAUACGUGUUACUCACCCGUGCGCCGGUCGCCGGCAACGG
This 275-nucleotide ribosomal RNA is filed under the name uncultured bacterium. Its description in RNAcentral is "partial 16S ribosomal RNA". The record is from RNAcentral.